This 451-nucleotide ribosomal RNA is filed under the name Capnocytophaga cynodegmi. RNAcentral describes it as "bacterial SSU rRNA". It matches the Rfam family "Bacterial small subunit ribosomal RNA", at positions 62 to 514 of the family's 1533-position model. Lineage: Bacteria; Pseudomonadati; Bacteroidota; Flavobacteriia; Flavobacteriales; Flavobacteriaceae. The record is from RNAcentral.
UCGAGGGGUAGAGUGCUUCGGCGCUUGAGACCGGCGUACGGGUGCGUAACGCGUGUACAAUCUACCUUUUGCUAAGGGAUAGCCCGAAGAAAUUUGGAUUAAUACCUUAUAGUAUUAUUUGGUGGCAUCAUUGAAUAAUUAAAGCUACGGUGGCAAAAGAUGAGUACGCGUCCCAUUAGCUAGUUGGAGUGGUAACGGCACACCAAGGCUACGAUGGGUAGGGGUUCUGAGAGGGAUGUCCCCCACACUGGUACUGAGACACGGACCAGACUCCUACGGGAGGCAGCAGUGAGGAAUAUUGGACAAUGGUCGGAAGACUGAUCCAGCCAUGCCGCGUGCAGGAUGACGGCCUUAUGGGUUGUAAACUGCUUUUGUAUGGGAAGAAUAAGGUCUACGUGUAGAUUGAUGACGGUACCGUACGAAUAAGCAUCGGCUAACUCCGUGCCAGCAG